GGGGUAGUGGCAAAGUGGUUACUGCGCUUCCUUCGCAUUUCAAUCAGAUCUGCAAAAGUACUCUUCAGGAAGAGAUCCUGGGUUCGAUUCCCAGCUACUCCA
Molecule: non-coding RNA, 102 nt
Organism: Meira miltonrushii
Lineage: Eukaryota; Fungi; Basidiomycota; Exobasidiomycetes; Exobasidiales; Brachybasidiaceae
Source: the annotation of a RefSeq genome assembly